This is a long non-coding RNA of Lolium rigidum, 509 nucleotides long. RefSeq lists it as uncharacterized. The record is from RefSeq and is a predicted model, not a curated record. The transcript has 3 exons. Lineage: Eukaryota; Viridiplantae; Streptophyta; Magnoliopsida; Poales; Poaceae.
AUUGCUCUUUAAUUCUGUACAUCAGGUUUCUACUCAUCUCAGCCCCUUCAUGUGCAUUCUCGUGCCUUUUCCAGGGAUCAACUUGGUGGUGCUCGGCAGCAAACGCCGAUGAGAACUAGGAGGAGUAAGAGGACAGAAAGAAAAAGAUGGAGCAGCAAGACUACAAGAGUGGAGUAGGCAGAGAUGUGGAUGAGCCAGAAACAUUGUGGCUAGGUUCUUUCUCUUGUGAGGUGACAUGGGAAACCAACCAGGAAAGCUCCCUUUCUUGAGGUGAUGCUCCAAUAUCAUGGGGCAAGCUUAUAAAGGGGAAACUAUGGGGCACUGCUAUUGAUUCUAGAUUGCUGGAAGCAACUCUCCUGCUUGUGGUACUCAAAAGAGAUGAUGAGUGUUGCGAGACAGAGAUCCUGGUGCUUAUUGGUGCAUUUGGUGCAUAAGAUUGAGAACCUUCACGAGUCUUGAGAUAAUAUGGGAUUUGGAGGCACUAGGGAAAAAUAUUCCACGUACCAGAC